CAGAUAUUUAAUUAGACAAAAAUCGAAUUCCAAAAGUCAUAACUGCAAUUUCUCGUCUAAAAAAAAAGAAAAUGUCCAAAAAAAUGCAAGGAAAAAUCAAAGUCGGAGUACCUCGACCAGUGAAAUUUCCCUACAAUUUUUGUCUCCGGCCUCCAGAUGAACAACUCUUAAUUAAAAAUAGAAAAAUAAACUACCUUCAACUAUACCGACAGAUCUACGGGAUUACGAAUCCAAUAAAGACCCUAUACUCAUUAUGCCAAAAAGACAUAAAAACGACUGUCUCUCCCAACUUCUCACAAUGAGAUACUUACUAUUGGGUUUCCAUAUGGUCCAUGCCCUUAGAAGAAUCGUCAUGUAAGUACUACCCACACACAUUGAGAAGGUAUGACUCUGGUUGAUCAUAUUGCCCAAUUUAUCUCCCGACAUCUCUUACAAAAUCGAAAGAUAAUUAUUAUAUUUCACAAUAAUGAAGGAUCUAACCUAAUUUUCCGACUACAUGGACCUAUAAAAGGGACUUUUAAACCAUAUAACAAGGGAUGGACGAUUGUACACCUCAACUUUAGCAGAAUCAACUAGAACUAGGAUUUUCGGGCUUAUAAGUUGUAAUUCUUGUUCUAACAAAUCAAUAAAACAUUAUGAUUGAUACUUGUUUUUGUUCAAUUGAUUAUUUACGGUUUCCAUAGAAUUACGAAGAGUUCUGUGUUAUUUUACCUUAAUAAACGGAUCAACAAAAUACAUAAUCAAAAUUUUAUAUGAUCAAAUAAAAUAAUUUGAGCCAUAUAUACUAUGAAAAAUAUAUAAAACACUUAUUUAUAUUGCCUUUUUAGUUCACUUCAAAUAAAAAAAGUUUAAUUGUUGUUUACGUAGUAUAUGUUUCGAAAAUGACAUAUCGGCACUAAAAAUUAAGAAUUUGGAAAGACUAAACCCAAAAUGCAUAAUCUACAUAUAAUUAGGUGUUCAAUUUUUUUUCUAAUCUAUAUUUGUUCUGUGACUUUCAGAGACCAUCUGCGGUUUGGAAUUCUAACACCCUUCAAUCGAAUAGACAGAGCCCAUUAAAUCAUUAAUCAUCAAGAAUAGACCUCUUGUACUUUGCAAGGUAAAGAAUCAGUAGACGCUCUGCUUUGUUUUUGGUUGUGUUGUAACGAUUAUACACAGCUUCCUUUGAACAUAAUAAUUUCUUGGACUUCGUGGUGAUGUCAGAUCUUUAUUCCCUGUAAAGGUAUUAUAAUCUUUAAUUUUCCUUUUAAUAUAAUAUUUUUUCAUGAUCUAUGAAAGAUGAAUUCGAGAUCAAAAUAUUUAGCUCAAAAGUAGGAUGAAAUGAGUUGGUAAAUUGGCUUCAUUGUUAAAGUUAUGAUUAAAUAUGAAGAUUAUAGACAAUUGUUAACUAGAGAAAUCGGAUUGACUUGAUUGUCGAAGGUCUGUUAAAAUUCUCGAUUUAUAAAUACAUAAUAUUUGAAGACGUAAGUGCUUUUCAGACACCAUGUAUUAGUAAUAUAGACCAGCCCCUCUUUAUGGAAAAACAGGGGGACAGGGGACGGAAAUGAUAUACAAAAGUUCAGGCGGAGACAUGGUGAAGGAGAGAGAGAUGAGAAUCAGUUGUAACAUCAGUGAGCAAAGAGAAGGCACACUAAUCAGUUAGUCAAAGUAAAAUAACCAAGUACCAGUAAUCAAGCUGCAAAAGAAGACAACAACCUAGAAUGGACAACAGACUUAUAAUACGGUUAGUAAUUAUCUAAACUAUUGUAACUAGUUUGUAAUGCGAAAGGAAAGUAGGAAAUUCUAUAAUAAGUUAUUAGAUUGGAGAACCCUGCCUUAAGUUUAGAUGUUUAGUUUUUACUUGCCUGAAUGAUGCAUAACAGUUUUUAUGAUAAUGAUAAUCUUAUAUAAGAUCAGUUUUAAUUCGAUAUGGUUUUAAAUUACCAAAGAGAAUUCAUACAUUUGUCCAAAUGAAAAGAAUUACAAUCUUGUUGAAACAAAUGUUUGAAAAAAGAAAAGCAAAUGUAGUUUGCAUAUAUAAAAAUAAACUUUCUGAAUCAGCAAGCAUUCUUCCACCAUAAAUUUGCAAAGAUCAAAACAUCAAGUUAAUUUAAAUUAUUAUUCUUUAUUGGAUAUACAAUACAAACGCAUAAUUUUUUUUAAAACACAUCCAAACAUAAACCGUAUAAGACAUCUAAACAAACAUAAAAUACAUACCUUAUGACCUAUGUUGCUGUUAAAGGUUGUCGAAAACUUCUUUGAAAACCACAUUCAUAUUUUUUUCUGAGGUUUGCCACCUUCGUCUGAAAUCAAAAUUUUCAGCUGGUGGGCAAACAUUUAGAAACCAUCUCAAAGGUCCAAACGAUGUGUUCUGUCUCCACAAAUGUAUGCACUUAAUUUAAACUCGCCAGUUGUUCUUAUAAGGCCUGAGUUUUGAGAGAGGAGUAAAAGUAGUCAUCGCAGACAUUUUAGGAGGUUCUGCUUAAAAUGAUAUGGUUUUCACGUUAUUGGUGAGGAGACAUAUUUUUUUUUUAACACUGAAUACUUCAAUAUAACAAAGUCCUGGAGGACAACGAGGGAGAACCCCUGAGAUACAUAAUAUUCCAGAGCCGAAGGAAAAAUAAAGCUAAACUUAUGCAAGAUAAAAGAGUACCAGUAGGUAUUUAAAGGUUGUAAUCAACGAUAUCAGAAAGGAGGUUAAUAAUGGCUAAAGAGAAAGCCAGUACCCCUUUCAGCAGCAGAGUUUAGAUGCUAUUUGCAUCCUCUUCCAGCAUCUUGUGAAGCCAACAAGGACCUCCUGCAGCAACAUAUGACUGUGGUCGUGGCCCAAGGAUUGCGCUCUCUGCUAUGCUCUUAGCUAUUCUGUUCAUGUGGGCUGAGACAUGGAAGACUGCCCACUUCUCAAAGCGAUUAAGGAGCUCCAAUAUCUUCAGUAUCAAGGGUGAUAGAUCAGGAAACCGGAGGGGGUUUAACAAAGCUUCUCGCACUUCUAUAGAGGAGACAUAUAUAUAGCUAGUUAGGAAAGGGUAGGGUAAAUGCCAUCUAAUUAUGAAAGAUUUUGUUAGUUGUGAUCUUAUAGCAUUAAAAAGCGAAUGUACUAUUCGAUUAGAUUCCAAAAUUCAUUUGUUUAUUAAAAAAUUGUUGUAAUAACAUGAUUACUGGUAUUUAAUGAGUAUAUAUUUUACGUGAUUUGCAUGAUUUGAAUAAAAAAAAGAAUCUUGUGGUAGUUGAUUGAUAUCAUAAUUGUUGUGAUGAUUGCUUAGAUAUAAGAAAAUAUAUUGCAAGGUAAUUUCGUUUAGGAAACUAAGAAAUGAUUAUUUUUUUAUUUUGAACUUGAUAAUUUAUAGUGCUUAAUGCGUAUUUUUUUUACAUUUCACUGAGUUUAGAUUACAUAAUUUCUAGUAAUAAUGAUAUUUAAUAAGAUAAUAUCUUUUUCUUCAGGCUUUCUGAAGGUAUAUAAAAAUAUAUGGGAAUAAUGAUAUAUAUUAUAUUAUUAUGUUGUAUGUAAAUGUAAUCAAAUGAAUUUUGUUAAGUUCUAAUAUACUGAUUUUGAUUCUGCAGAGAAAGAUUAACUGAGGUAUCAUCACAAUGGAAUUCGAUGGUUUAGUAAAAUUAUGAAAAUAUAUGUAGGAAUGUAUCUAUUGACUUAUCUGAUUCUGUAGACCAAGAGGAAUCCAGGUAUAACGAUACGCAGGAAAGUAGCUAUUAUAUUUAGAUGGUCUUGAAAUGUUAGUUUAUUAAUGGUUUAGUGAUUUUAUGGUUCAUAACUAAGAACAAACUACUGUGUCUAGUAAUGUUAUGGUUUACAAUGGUUUAAUAAUUAAUGGUUGUGUUUUGUAUGCAAGUGGCAUGAGAUGGUAAAUUUUGAGCAAAACUCAAAGCUAUUUCCUAUUUGUACUCAUGUUUUAGUAAUUUAGAUUUAAACUCUUCAUUAA
Long non-coding RNA from Brassica rapa (field mustard), 3911 nucleotides. RefSeq lists it as uncharacterized. Lineage: Eukaryota; Viridiplantae; Streptophyta; Magnoliopsida; Brassicales; Brassicaceae. The record is from RefSeq and is a predicted model, not a curated record.